This 486-nucleotide ribosomal RNA is filed under the name uncultured bacterium. RNAcentral's name for it is "partial 16S ribosomal RNA". It matches the Rfam family "Bacterial small subunit ribosomal RNA", at positions 30 to 507 of the family's 1533-position model. The record is from RNAcentral.
AUUGAACGCUGGCGGCAUGCCUUACACAUGCAAGUCGAACGGCAGCACGGGUGCUUGCACCUGGUGGCGAGUGGCGAACGGGUGAGUAAUACAUCGGAACAUGUCCUGUAGUGGGGGAUAGCCCGGCGAAAGCCGGAUUAAUACCGCAUACGAUCUACGGAUGAAAGCGGGGGACCUUCGGGCCUCGCGCUAUAGGGUUGGCCGAUAGCUGAUUAGCUAGUUGGUGGGGUAAAGGCCUACCAAGGCGACGAUCAGUAGCUGGUCUGAGAGGACGACCAGCCACACUGGGACUGAGACACGGCCCAGACUCCUACGGGAGGCAGCAGUGGGGAAUUUUGGACAAUGGGCGAAAGCCUGUUCCAGCAAUGCCGCGUGUGUGAAGAAGGCCUUCGGGUUGUAAAGCACUUUUGUCCGGAAAGAAAUCCUUGGCUCUAAUACAGUCGGGGGAUGACGGUACCGGAAGAAUAAGCACCGGCUAACUACGUG